CGUGUAGGCGGCCCACCAAGCCGGCUGUGAAAGCCCAUGGCUCAACCAUGGAAGUGCAGCCGGGACUGAUGGGCUAGAGUUCCGAAGAGGGUGGCGGAAUGCCCAGUGUAGAGGUGAAAUUCGUAGAUAUUGGGUAGAACACCGGUGGCGAAGGCGGCCACCUGGGAGGCGACUGACGCUGAGACGCGAAAGCGUGGGGAGCAAACA
RNAcentral lists this ribosomal RNA (207 nucleotides) under uncultured bacterium. RNAcentral describes it as "partial 16S ribosomal RNA". It matches the Rfam family "Bacterial small subunit ribosomal RNA", at positions 568 to 774 of the family's 1533-position model. The record is from RNAcentral.